Molecule: ribosomal RNA, 396 nt
Filed under: uncultured bacterium
Lineage: Bacteria
Description: partial 16S ribosomal RNA
Rfam family: Bacterial small subunit ribosomal RNA
Source: RNAcentral
CUACGUAGGGAGCGAGCGUUGUCCGGAAUUACUGGGUGUAAAGGGAGCGUAGGCGGGAGUGCAAGGCAGAUGUGAAAUACAUGGGCUCAACCCAUGGGCUGCAUUUGAAACUGCAUUUCUUGAGUGAAGUAGAGGUAAGCGGAAUUCCUGGUGUAGCGGUGAAAUGCGUAGAUAUCAGGAGGAACACCGGUGGCGAAGGCGGCUUACUGGGCUUUUACUGACGCUGAGGCUCGAAAGCGUGGGGAGCAAACAGGAUUAGAUACCCUGGUAGUCCACGCUGUAAACGAUGAUUACUAGGUGUGGGGGGACUGACCCCUUCCGUGCCGCAGUUAACACAAUAAGUAAUCCACCUGGGAAGUACGGUCGCAAGACUGAAACUCAAAUGAAUUGGCGGGG